Non-coding RNA from Misgurnus anguillicaudatus (oriental weatherfish), 1037 nucleotides. Lineage: Eukaryota; Metazoa; Chordata; Actinopteri; Cypriniformes; Cobitidae. The record is from RefSeq and is a predicted model, not a curated record.
UUUAAUAAUUCACGCAAAAAACAUGAUUCACACAUGCGUAGACAAUUUCACAUGCAUGAAAUCUAAUUCACAUACACAAAAAUAUAUAUAUUCGCAAAAAAACGAUGUACAUACACAAAAUAAAAAUUCAUAUUCAUAAAAUACGUUUCACAAAAGAAAAAAACAAUUCACAAAUGUAGAACUGUGUACGAAAAGUUUUAAAUUGUGAGUUUAUCAUGACUGUGAAUGUACGAAUCGUCUUUUUCGUGUGUGAAUUGCUUUGAAUUCGUGUGUGUGUUUUUUGAGACUUUGGUGGCAGCGUGCUUCUCCAACGUGGGUCACUCGUACUCUUUAGCCAAUCAGAUGCAAGCUUACCAUUCAACCAAUCAUAACCCGGCAAGAGCGCAGCACUCAAGGAGCUUAGCAUUGCACACCUUUUGCGCAAUCAACUGAAAUGAAGCUUCACGUCAUCAACCAAGCAUGGCGAACGAAGUGCGGGAUAUACGUAGGUUCUGUCUGCAAGACCCAAAGAAAGGAAGCUUGCUGAUGUAUUAAGGAGUACCUUUUAAAAGAGUGUCACCUGUAAGCUGCCUGACCUCACAGUCCUCCAAGUAGCAGAGGCGUUUAAGGACCUUGCCAGUGCUGUAGCCCCUUCGGUCACCACUAUCAGGAUGUCACAUGUCAAUUCUUUGGUGGAUUUUGGCUUUGGCAGAGUUUAGUAUGGAAGUGUGCCGUCAUACCAGCAGCAACAACACACAACCUUAAUCGUUAUCAAGAUGCCCCAUAACUACAACCUCUGCAACUAUUUGGCUACAGCCUUGACACAUCUGUUUGCUUGAUAGUUAUUUAUAUUUACAUGUUUACAUUUCUGAAGUUAAGGUAGUUAUUUACAGUAUAUUACAUACAUUACUGCAAUGUUAAUGUUCAAAGUCAUUUAGUUUUACAUUCAUGCAGUGCAUGCAACACUGUAUAAAAGUUAUUUACAGUAUAUUUAAAUACAUUACUGCAUUGUAAAUGUUCAAAGCCACAUGUUUACAUUCCUGCAGUGCAUGCAACAC